Molecule: ribosomal RNA, 603 nt
Filed under: Triticum aestivum (bread wheat)
Lineage: Eukaryota; Viridiplantae; Streptophyta; Magnoliopsida; Poales; Poaceae
Description: partial small subunit ribosomal RNA
Source: RNAcentral
AUGGCUAGGAUUAACUAUGGUGUCAUAUCCCCGAUCCCCAAAGUAGUUGGGGUGACGGAUAUUCGGCACUUCCGCCCCAUCAUGGUGAUCAACGUGUUGGAGUGAAUCUUUGUGAAGGUUUGCGCAACUCGCUCAUCCCUGGUGGUAGAAAGGAUUGCCCACCCCCUCCAGUCUGCAUUCCUGAAGGGACGGCGGAUCCAUGACGGUAUCCUCGCCCUUCGCGACAUCGUCCACGAGGUGGCGUCGAAGGGGCUUAAGGGGGUCUUCCUCAAAUUGGACUUUUAGAAGGCGUAUGACCGGCUGGAUUGGUCCUUUUUGAGGUUGGUGAUGGAACAACGCGGCUUUGACGAGAGGUGGUGUUCCUGGAUCAUGCAACUGGUUAGAUCUGGGAACACGGCGAUCAACAUCAAUGGCAAAGUGGGACCUUUUUUCCAGGCUUCCAGAGGGGUAAAGCAAGGGGACCCUGUCUCCUCCUUGCUUUUCAACCUUGCAAUUGAUGCCCUUGCAGGCAUCUUAGAUAAGGCCAAGUUGGCCGGCCACCUUAAGGGUGUAGUUAGUCACCUCAUCCCAGAUGGGGGGGGGGUAUGCACUUGCAGUAUGUAG